This 253-nucleotide ribosomal RNA is filed under the name uncultured bacterium. Its description in RNAcentral is "partial 16S ribosomal RNA". It matches the Rfam family "Bacterial small subunit ribosomal RNA", at positions 524 to 776 of the family's 1533-position model. The record is from RNAcentral.
UACGUAGGUGGCAAGCGUUGUCCGGAUUUACUGGGCGUAAAGAGCGCGCAGGCGGUCGUCCAAGUCGCGUGUGAAAGCCCCCGGCUCAACUGGGGAGGGUCACGCGAUACUGGUCGACUCGAAGGCAGGAGAGGGUAGUGGAAUUCCCGGUGUAGUGGUGAAAUGCGUAGAUAUCAGGAGGAACACCGGUGGCGAAGGCGGGUCUCUGGGCCGAUAUUGACGCUGAGGAGCGAAAGCGUGGGGAGCGAACAGG